This 207-nucleotide ribosomal RNA is filed under the name uncultured bacterium. RNAcentral describes it as "partial 16S ribosomal RNA". It matches the Rfam family "Bacterial small subunit ribosomal RNA", at positions 568 to 774 of the family's 1533-position model. The record is from RNAcentral.
CGCGUAGGCGGCUUGUUAAGCGAGAUGUGAAAUCCGGGGGCUUAACCCGCGGCUUGCAUCUCGAACUGGCAGGCUUGAGUCUGGUAGAGGAAAGUGGAAUUCCCAGUGUAGCGGUGAAAUGCGCAGAUAUUGGGAGGAACACCAGUGGCGAAGGCGGCUUUCUGGGCCACGACUGACGCUGAGGCGCGAAAGCUAGGGGAGCGAACA